Molecule: long non-coding RNA, 939 nt
Organism: Chelonia mydas (Green sea turtle)
Lineage: Eukaryota; Metazoa; Chordata; Testudines; Cheloniidae
Exons: 2
Source: RefSeq, a predicted model, not a curated record
AUUUUCCCAGAAGCAGAACAACCUUUGGCUUGACUCCUGACUCUGGCUCUGAUCUUUGGCUUAGCACUUCGGUUCCAGGCUCCUGGCUGUAAUCAUUAGGUCUCACCACCCAUGGCCCCGUCCCUACGCAUUUCAGGGAUGAGAUCCUCCAACCCCACCCCAUUCCAGAAGGGAGUAAGACUGAAGGGACGAUUAGCUGUUGAGCUGAAGCCUGCCUUAGUGAACCCCCGGAGGCAGACUUCCUCUCCCUCCCCACUUCUGCCAGGAGAAUUGUGGCCAUGUCAGAGCAUCAGGAAGCUCCAGGGUGAGCUGUGCUCUAGGCAAACCACUACAGAUUUGGUUGAGAAUGCAAGUAUAACCUAGUCCGUGUGCAAGGGACCUAGUCAAGCCUUGAAAAGAAAAGGGGUGGAUACCCUAAAGCAAAUGUCUCUCCUUCCCCGUAGCUGGAUGGCUAUGGAUCCACUGCUAAAAUGGAUGGCUGAGCAGAACACUCAAUACCAGCAACAACAAAUCUUCCAGCAAAUAGCCAACCACCAGCAGCCAUUUAAUACAUGAUCUAAUGGUCCAAUAGCAGCAACUACUACAAUAGGUGAUCACUGUACUAUGGCUGCCUACUAUAGCAGUAUUGGCAAAACUUGAUUCAGCAGUAGCCUCUUUCUCGUCAGGCGUACAAAGAGGAGGCCCGACAACAAGGCCUUCCUUGAAACUUUGGGGCAAAUGGCACCUGCAGCUCAGUGACCCCUUGAACAAUAGGCAGCUUUGCUCAAUCCCAGUUAAGUAUGGGGCCAGCAAACAGCUAAUCUUGCUUUUAGACCUUGUCACUGUCUGAAAUUAUAUGCAGGUCAGCAGCAUCUUUGAUACUCUGGACAUCUCAUAAGAGACACUCCACAACAUUUCUGGGAAGAAUGGUAUCCUUUCAGAGCACAGUCCUGCAUGAUU